RNAcentral lists this ribosomal RNA (753 nucleotides) under Triticum aestivum (bread wheat). RNAcentral describes it as "partial small subunit ribosomal RNA". The record is from RNAcentral. Lineage: Eukaryota; Viridiplantae; Streptophyta; Magnoliopsida; Poales; Poaceae.
AUGCGAUUAAGCAGCUUCGAAUCGGAUUCUACUCCGCUGCAAAGUCACUUCGAACCGACACACGCUAACAGUUCAAACCGGACUCCUACUAAAAAGUCAAUUCGAACCGCACAGACUAUUCAGGUUAACCUGACUGCACAUGUACAUAUACUAUGCAUACGAGAAAACGAAUACAAGACGAUGAUCGAUACGAUGUCGCAGCCGGGCGAACGUGCCACCGAAAACACGACUCUGGACGACGACGUGGUAACGGAGAUCCUGCUGAGGCUGCCGUCCGCCUCCGUGUUCCGCUCCCGGGCCGUCUGCAAGGCGUGGCGCCGCAUCACGACGGACCCCUCGUUCCUCGCCGCCCACGCCGACCGGCGCCCAGCCGAGCUGCUCGUCGUAUCAAGAGGGGAACCAUCUUUUCUAGACGCCAUCCCGCUGUCUCUGCAAGUCGACGACUUGACGAGGCGCCGGAGCCAACUCCAUCACCCCGAGGGCUGUGAGAUCGGUGUCCUGCUGGGUUGCUGCGACGGGCUCGUGCUGUUCCGGAAAUCCUCUCAAGAUUUGUUAAGCAACGAUGUCUUCUUGUGCAACCCGGUGACCAGGCAGUGGGCGAGGUUGGACGUGACGCCACCUUCUUGCGCGGCCUGGCCAGGCCGUGCUGCUUCUACAGGCACCGCCCAUCAGGCGAGCACCGGCUUCUCGUUCUCGCCGCCGCCGCCACCUCGCAACCUCCUCGCCGUCUCGGGCCCGUGGCUGACGGUGUAG